GGUAGAUAGCGGUCCUGGACUGAAUCGGCCUUAUGAACCCGCGCUUUCCCCAGCCUCCAGCCUAGCAUACUGACACCUACCCCCACCCCAACCUGAUCGCCAGACCUCAGGGUUUUCCAGAGCUGAAGAAUGACACAUUCCUGCGAGCAGCCUGGGGAGAGGAAACAGACUACACUCCCGUUUGGUGCAUGCGCCAGGCAGGCCGUUACUUACCAGCCACUGCGUCGCUUCCCUCUGGAUGCUGCCAUCAUUUUCUCCGACAUCCUUGUUGUACCCCAGGCACUGGGCAUGGAGGUGACCAUGGUACCUGGCAAAGGACCCAGCUUCCCAGAGCCAUUAAGAGAAGAGCAGGACCUAGAAUGCCUACGGGAUCCAGAAGUGGUAGCCUCUGAGCUAGACUAUGUGUUCCAAGCCAUCACCCUUACCCGACAACGACUGGCUGGACGUGUGCCGCUGAUUGGCUUUGCUGGUGCCCCAUGGACCCUGAUGACAUACAUGGUUGAGGGUGGUGGCUCAAGCACCAUGGCUCAGGCCAAGCGCUGGCUCUAUCAGAGACCUCAGGCUAGUCACCAGCUGCUUCGCAUCCUCACUGAUGCUCUGGUCCCAUAUCUGGUAGGACAAGUGGCGGCUGGUGCCCAGGCAUUGCAGCUGUUUGAGUCCCAUGCAGGGCAUCUUGGCCCACAGCUCUUCAGCAAGUUUGCACUGCCCUACAUCCGUGAUGUGGCCAAGCAAGUGAAGGCCAGGUUGCGGGAGGCAGGUCUGGCACCAGUGCCCAUGAUCAUCUUUGCUAAGGAUGGGCAUUUUGCCCUGGAGGAGCUGGCCCAAGCUGGCUAUGAGGUGGUUGGGCUUGACUGGAC
RNAcentral lists this small RNA (857 nucleotides) under Pongo abelii (Sumatran orangutan). RNAcentral's name for it is "processed transcript". Lineage: Eukaryota; Metazoa; Chordata; Mammalia; Primates; Hominidae. The record is from RNAcentral.